RNAcentral lists this ribosomal RNA (453 nucleotides) under uncultured Achromobacter sp. RNAcentral describes it as "bacterial SSU rRNA". It matches the Rfam family "Bacterial small subunit ribosomal RNA", at positions 925 to 1382 of the family's 1533-position model. Lineage: Bacteria; Pseudomonadati; Pseudomonadota; Betaproteobacteria; Burkholderiales; Alcaligenaceae. The record is from RNAcentral.
ACAAGCGGUGGAUGGAUGUGGAUUAAUUCGAUGCAACGUCGAAAACCUUACCUACCUUGACAUGUCUGGAAUGCCGAAGAGAUUUGGCAGUGCUCGCAAGAGAACCGGAACACAGGUGCUGCAUGGCUGUCGUCAGCUCGUGUCGUGAGAUGUUGGGUUAAGUCCCGCAACGAGCGCAACCCUUGUCAUUAGUUGCUACGAAAGGGCACUCUAAUGAGACUGCCGGUGACAAACCGGAGGAAGGUGGGGAUGACGUCAAGUCCUCAUGGCCCUUAUGGGUAGGGCUUCACACGUCAUACAAUGGUCGGGACAGAGGGUCGCCAACCCGCGAGGGGGAGCCAAUCCCAGAAACCCGAUCGUAGUCCGGAUUGCAGGCUGCAACUCGCCUGCAUGAAGUCGGAAUCGCUAGUAAUCGCGGAUCAGCAUGUCGCGGUGAAUACGUUCCCGGGUCUU